GAUGAACGCUGGCGGCGUGCCUAAUACAUGCAAGUCGAGCGAAGCGGGGACGGGGGAGUAACAUGUUGAUAACCUCCUAUAAGACUGGGAUAACUUCGGGAAACCCGAGCUAAAUCGGAUACUUAUAGAUGGAUCCGCGCUGCAUGAGCUAGUUGGUAAGGUAACGGCUUACAAAGCAAACGAUGCAUAGCCGGCCUGAGAGAGUGAUCGGCCGAACUGGAACUGAGACACGGUCCAAACUCCUACGGGAAGCGGCAGUAGUGAAUGUUCCGCAAUGGGCGAAAGCGUGACAGAGCGACGCCGCGUGAGUGAGGAGGGGCUUAAGUUGGUAGGACUCUGUUAUUAGGGAGGCGGUACCUAAUCAGAAAGCCACGGCUAACUACGUGCCAGCAGCCGCGGUAAUAC
Molecule: ribosomal RNA, 405 nt
Filed under: uncultured bacterium
Lineage: Bacteria
Description: partial 16S ribosomal RNA
Rfam family: Bacterial small subunit ribosomal RNA
Source: RNAcentral